GAUGAACGCUGGCGGCGUGCCUAACACAUGCAAGUCGAGCGAGAAGGUUAUGAUGGAUUCUUCGGAUGACAGAUUAACUGGAAAGCGGCGGACGGGUGAGUAACGCGUGGGUAACCUGCCCCAUACACAGGGAUAGCCAUUGGAAACGAUGAUUAAUACCUGAUAACACAUUUGAAUCGCAUGGUUUAAAUGUCAAAGAUUUAUCGGUAUGGGAUGGACCCGCGUCUGAUUAGCUAGUUGGUAAGGUAAUGGCUUACCAAGGCGACGAUCAGUAGCCGACCUGAGAGGUGAUCGGCCACACUGGAACUGAGACACGGUCCAGACUCUACGGAGCAGCAGUGGGAAAAUGCACAAUGGCGCAAGCCUGAUGCAGCAACG
Molecule: ribosomal RNA, 378 nt
Filed under: uncultured bacterium
Lineage: Bacteria
Description: bacterial SSU rRNA
Rfam family: Bacterial small subunit ribosomal RNA
Source: RNAcentral